UGCAGUCGAGCGAACCCUUCGGGGUUAGCGGCGGACGGGUGAGUAACGCGUGGGAACGUGCCCUUUGCUACGGAAUAGCCCCGGGAAACUGGGAGUAAUACCGUAUACGCCCUUAGGGGGAAAGAUUUAUCGGCAAGGGAUCGGCCCGCGUUGGAUUAGGUAGUUGGUGGGGUAAUGGCCUACCAAGCCGACGAUCCAUAGCUGGUUUGAGAGGAUGAUCAGCCACACUGGGACUGAGACACGGCCCAGACUCCUACGGGAGGCAGCAGUGGGGAAUCUUAGACAAUGGGGGCAACCCUGAUCUAGCCAUGCCGCGUGAGUGAUGAAGGCCCUAGGGUUGUAAAGCUCUUUCAGCUGGGAAGAUAAUGACGGUACCAGCAGAAGAAGCCCCGGCUAACUCCGUGCCAGCAGCCGCGGUAAUACGGAGGGGGCUAGCGUUGUUCGGAAUUACUGGGCGUAAAGCGCACGUA
RNAcentral lists this ribosomal RNA (470 nucleotides) under Paracoccus sp. SBR3. RNAcentral describes it as "bacterial SSU rRNA". It matches the Rfam family "Bacterial small subunit ribosomal RNA", at positions 56 to 573 of the family's 1533-position model. The record is from RNAcentral. Lineage: Bacteria; Pseudomonadati; Pseudomonadota; Alphaproteobacteria; Rhodobacterales; Paracoccaceae.